GUGUUCCCUAUCGCAUAUACUAAAAUUGGAGCAAUACCAAGAUGGUAAGCAUGGGCCCUGUACAAGGAGGACACUCAAAUUCAUGAAGCAUUUGAUAUUUAU
This is a small nuclear RNA of Pipistrellus kuhlii (Kuhl's pipistrelle), 102 nucleotides long. NCBI's taxonomy places the organism in Eukaryota, Metazoa, Chordata, Mammalia, Chiroptera, Vespertilionidae. The record is from RefSeq and is a predicted model, not a curated record.